UACGGGGGGGGCAAGCGUUGUUCGGAAUUACUGGGCGUAAAGGGCUUGUAGGUGGCCAACUAAGUCAAACGUGAAAUCCCUCGGCUUAACCGGGGAACUGCGCUUGAUACUGGAGAUCUUGAGUCCGGGAGAGGUGAGUGGAACUGCGAGUGUAGAGGUGAAAUUCGUAGAUAUUCGCAAGAACACCAGUGGCGAAGGCGGCUCACUGGCCCGGUACUGACGCUGAGGUGCGAAAGCGUGGGGAGCAAACAGG
This 253-nucleotide ribosomal RNA is filed under the name uncultured bacterium. RNAcentral describes it as "partial 16S ribosomal RNA". It matches the Rfam family "Bacterial small subunit ribosomal RNA", at positions 524 to 776 of the family's 1533-position model. The record is from RNAcentral.